GAAAAAAGAAAAAAGGGUCAUCAACCCGUCAAUCCUUAUUCUAAUAUGGAUCUAUGAGAACCGGAGUUGGGGGAAGGAAAACCAUAAUCCAUAUGUAGUAACCUAUAACCCACUUUCCAAACAGACCAUAGCCAUGCCUUCUCACCGAUCUAUGUCAAGUCUCUGAGCUCCUUCUCACUUUCGGCUUUCUUGAACAGUUGAACAUGUUGUAAACGGAGAUAUACAGAAUAAGCAAAGAGUUGCCGAGUGUAAUAACACCACAACAACCACAAAGAAACAACUUGUUUCAAAGUUUUGGAGAUUCGCUAAUGGAGUACAGAAAAAUCAAAGACCAGGAUGAAGAUGGGAAGGCAGCUGACGAUGAUAUAGAGAGCUUACAUGGGAAAGCUCUUUCAGGUGGUAAUGUGGCCGUCUUUGGAGGUAGCUCUACCGAAAGAUCUAAGUGGAAGCUCAAGUCAGUUGUCACACUUGCGCUGACUGUGCUUACGAGUUCACAAGCAAUACUCAUUGUCUGGUCUAAGAGAGCUGGAAAAUAUGAGUAUAGUGUUACAACCGCAAAUUUCUUGGUGGAGGCUUUGAAAUGUGCAUUCUCCCUCGCAGCCUUGGGAAGAAUCUGGAGAAAUGAAGGUGUUACCGAUGACAACAGGUUGAGUACAACAUUCGAUGAAGUUAGUGUUUACCCCAUUCCUGCAGCACUUUACCUUGUCAAGAACUUACUUCAGUAUUACAUCUUUGCAUAUGUGGAUGCUCCGGGAUAUCAGAUACUGAAGAACCUGAAUAUUAUCAGCACCGGUGUGUUAUAUCGAAUUAUUCUUAAGAAGAAGUUAAGUGAGAUUCAGUGGGCCGCUUUCAUUCUAUUGUGUGCGGGGUGCACCAUAGCACAACUUAAUCCUUCUUCUGAUCAUGUUCUUCAAACUCCCUUUCAAGGUUGGGUGAUGGCAAUUGUCAUGGCCCUUCUAAGUGGUUCUGCAGGAGUGUACACAGAGGCUAUUAUUAAAAAGCGUCCUUCAAGGAACAUAAACGUGCAAAACUUCUGGUUGUAUGUCUUUGGGAUGGCCUUCAAUGCUAUUGCAAUAGUGAUUCAAGAUUUUGAUGCUGUCGUGAACGAAGGGUUCUUCCACGGGUACUCAUUGAUUACAGUCCUCAUGAUUCUUAACCAUGCACUAAGUGGCAUUGCUGUAUCAAUGGUAAUGAAGUAUGCUGACAACAUCGUGAAGGUGUAUUCUACUUCAGUGGCAAUGCUGCUGACAGCGGUUGUUUCUGUAUUCUUAUUUAGGUUUCAUCUGUCCAUUGCCUUCUUCCUUGGCUCCAUUGUUGUCUCUGUCUCAAUAUAUUUACACUCCAUUGGGAAGCUGCAAAGAUAGUGAUGGCAUUUCAUUUAUUCUUAUAGCCCAUUGAGCAUCAAUGUAAAGUCUAAAGGCCAAUAUUCUGUGUUUUUUUAGAAAGUUUUUCGAUUUGAUUGUUUUGAAUUUACCAACUCAUGAGUUUGGAUAAUAUAUGAGUAACAUGAUGUUUUAUCCUGUAAUAUUUACCACCAUUAAAUCAAAUAUCAUAGUGAAGGACAUUUUGAUGUUGAUUAAGAGGAUAAAUUUAAUUAAUAUGGUGUGAUUUUAUUUAAGCAUUUUGUUGUUUUGAGCGGCUGAAGCACGUGGAAGGUUUGGUGUGUGUGUGAAGUGCCAAAUUGUGUCAUAUUGAAGCUUACAUAGGAAGUCCACUUUGUUGUGGAAAGGAUGUAGUUAUGUUUGGAACCUUACAUAGGAAGUCCACAAUUCAAGUUCACAAGGGAUCACUCUGCUAAAUUUCUUACUCGAUGCGCUCUGUGUCUGAAGACUGUUUCUUGCCCUAGCUCGAGCUUCUCCUUCUGUCCUCUCUCUCAAACUGGUUUGGUCUUCCCCAAUUGAUCUAUUUCUUUUCAAUUGAAGUCGUAGCCCCAGAUUUUCUCUUUCUCAAGGUGGGUAUCAACAUGGAGGUCUUGAAGAGCCCCCCAACUGCAGUAGCCGGAAACGAUCUUUCCUGACUUCCUUUGCUCUCCUAUCGACGAGUCCUCUAACACUCUUAGCCGUCUUCAACAUCAAUCCCACCGCCGUUUAUUGGCUUCUUCUUCGUCUAAUUGGGUGAACAUCUAAUUCAAUUCAAUUGAGAGGCAGCAAAGUCAGUCCAUCAACAGUUACUGGGGGUUUUGUUCAGGUAUGAAGACUUGGUUCGUGAUGUUCAUCAUUGCUUGGAUGAUUAUAGACUUGAAGAUUUUAAUUCUUGUAAAAGUUGGCUUGAGAUGCCACUUGUAGCCUUAUUUGUCAAGAUGUGUAUAUUUGAUUCCAUUUGUGUAAUGUGUACAUGAGUACACUCUUUACAAUGUAUUUGACAUGUAUGAGAUGAGGCCGGAGGCCAAUGAUCAUUAUUUUGUAUCCUAUGUAAUUUUUGAUUUCAUGAAAUAUUAUGAAAAUGUUGAAAAA
Cornus florida is the source of this 2453-nucleotide RNA transcript. It is a transcript of the gene named CMP-sialic acid transporter 4-like, with no coding region annotated. Lineage: Eukaryota; Viridiplantae; Streptophyta; Magnoliopsida; Cornales; Cornaceae. The record is from RefSeq and is a predicted model, not a curated record. The transcript has 17 exons.